CCUACGGGUGGCAGCAGUGAGGAAUAUUGGUCAAUGGGCGAGAGCCUGAACCAGCCAAGUCGCGUGAGGGAGUACUGCCCUAUGGGUUGUAAACCUCUUUUGUCGGGGAGCAAAAGCCGGACGUGUCCGGCUGUUAGAGUUCCCGAAGAAAAAGCAUCCGCAAACUCCGUUCCAGCCGCCGCCGUAAUACGGAGGAUGCGGGCGUUAUCCGGAUUUAUUGGGUUUAAAGGGUGCGCAGGCGGGUUUUUAAGUCCGCGGUAAAAUCGUGGGGCUCAACCCCAUCCAGCCGUUGAAACUGGGGAUCUAGAGUGUGCGAGAGGUAUGCGGAAUGCGUGGUGUAGCGGUGAAAUGCAUAGAUAUCACGCAGAACCCCGAUUGCGAAGGCAGCAUACCGGUGCACAACUGACGCUCAGGCACGAAAGCGUGGGUAUCGAACAGGAUUAGAUACCCCUGUAGUC
RNAcentral lists this ribosomal RNA (458 nucleotides) under uncultured bacterium. RNAcentral's name for it is "partial 16S ribosomal RNA". It matches the Rfam family "Bacterial small subunit ribosomal RNA", at positions 338 to 795 of the family's 1533-position model. The record is from RNAcentral.